RNA transcript from Trachemys scripta elegans, 3825 nucleotides. It is a transcript of the gene named actin binding LIM protein family member 3, with no coding region annotated. The record is from RefSeq and is a predicted model, not a curated record. The transcript has 22 exons. Lineage: Eukaryota; Metazoa; Chordata; Testudines; Emydidae.
UAACUGGGGUGGGGGGCGAGCAGCUUCUUCUGAUGAGCAAGCUCUGUGCAGGUCCCCCUCCCCUUUCUGUGGUCCACGUCCCCCUGAGCUAUAAGAAGCGCUUUAGCUGGAAUUGGUCUGCAUUGCAUGACAGCACCCUCCAUAGAAGUCAGCCCUGAGCAGGAGUCAGUCAGCUGCCUCUGUGUGCCGCUUCACACGGCGGAUCUGUUGCUGGGAGGAGAGAGAGACGGAGGAACACCCUGCCCUGGUUUAUUCUCAGGCUCCCUGCUUCUUUUUAUCCCCACCCCUGACUUUAUUAUCUGCCUGCUCAAAAUUAAGAGCAAAGGCAGGAGCCUGGGGGGGGGAAAAUAGCGUGGGACGCGGGAGACACCUGGGCAUGAAUUAGAUGGCAAUCACACGGAAAUAUUUUUCCUAGGAAGAAAAGGAAAAACCCAGUCCUAGAAAAAAGGAAGGAUUGAAAGAGCAGCUUUGUUGAAUGAGAAGGACAGAGCAGGACCAGCACCAUGAGUACUAGCAUUCCCUAUCAACAAAACCCGUACGGCUCCGGGGGCAGCUCCACCGUCAUCCAGUGCUACCGCUGCGGAGACACAUGUAAGGGAGAGGUGGUGCGCGUCCAGAGCAAUCACUUCCACAUCAGGUGCUUCACCUGCCAAGUGUGCGGCUGUGACCUGGCCCAAUCAGGCUUCUUCUUUAAGAACGGGGAGUACAUCUGCACCCAUGACUACCAGCAGCUCUACGGGACCCGCUGCGACAGCUGCCGUGACUUCAUCACUGGAGAGGUCAUCUCUGCCCUGGGCAGGACAUACCACCCCAAGUGCUUUGUCUGCAGCAUGUGCAGGAAGCCGUUCCCCAUUGGAGACAAAGUGACAUUCAGCGGGAAAGACUGCGUCUGCCAAGCUUGUUCCCAUUCGCUGAUCAGCUCCAAGCCUAUCAAGAUUCACGGGCCGAGCCACUGUGCGGGCUGCAAGGAGGAGAUCAAGCACGGCCAGUCGCUCCUGGCCCUGGAGAAGCAGUGGCACGUCAGCUGCUUCAAGUGCCAAACCUGCGGGAUCAUCCUGACUGGCGAGUACAUCAGCAAGGACGGCGUUCCAUACUGCGAAUCUGACUACCAUGCCCAGUUCGGCAUUAAGUGUGAGACCUGUGACCGGUACAUCAGUGGCAGGGUCUUGGAGGCAGGAGGGAAGCACUACCACCCAACCUGUGCCAGAUGCGUCCGCUGCCACCAGAUGUUCACGGAAGGGGAGGAGAUGUAUCUCACAGGUUCUGAAGUGUGGCACCCGAUCUGCAAACAGGCAGCAAGAGCAGAGAAGAAAUUGAAGCACAGAAGAACAUCAGAAACCUCCAUCUCGCCCCCUGGUUCCAGUAUUGGUUCCCCCAACCGAGUCAUCUGUGCUAAAGUGGAUAAUGAGAUCCUUAAUUACAAAGACCUGGCAGCUCUUCCCAAGAUUAAAGCCAUCUACGAGGUGCAGCGUCCCGACCUCAUUUCCUACGAGCCUUAUCACAGAUACACGUCAGAUGAGACGCUGGAGAGAUAUAGCUAUGGGGAGUCCCUUGGAACGCUGUCUCCGUAUUCUCAGGAUAUCUAUGAAAGUAUUGACAUACGGCAGAGACGGGCCUCCAGCCCGGGCUACAUCGACUCCCCCACCUACAGCCGCCAGGGCAUGUCUCCCACCAUCCCACGCUCCCCACAUCAUUACUACCGCUCAGGCACAGAGAGUGGGCGCAGCUCCCCCUACUAUAGCCAGUUAGAUGUGAGGUCUUCUACUCCAACCUCAUACCAAGCUCCCAAGCAUUUCCACAUUCCAGCUGCCGGAGAGAGUAACAUCUACCGGAAACCCCCCAUCUAUAAACGACACGACAAUCUACCUGCAGCUACGAAAAGCAAAACCAGCGAAGACAUUGCACAAUCCUCCAAAUACAGCCCAGCCUAUUCCCCGGACCCGUACUACCACUCAGAAUCCGAGUACUGGCCUUUCCAAAGUUCGCCCAAAGCACCGCGAGCCCGCAGAUUCUCAUCAGGGGGAGAAGAGGAUGGGUUUGACCGGGGGAUGCACAAGAUCCAGAGCGGCAUCGGCAGGUUGAUCCUGAAGGAAGAGAUGAAGGCACGAUCCAAUUCUUACGCUGAUCCCUGGACGCCGCCCCGCAGCUCAGCCGGCAGCAGAGAGGCCCUGCACACAGUCGGCUACGAGAGCUCACUGAACGGCUCUCCCCGGACACAUUACCUGGCUGACAGUGAUCCCCUCAUUUCGAAAUCUGCAUCCCUCCCUGCCUACAGAAGGAACGGGCUGCACAGGCCCCCCAGUGCUGAACUCUUCCACUACGACAGCACAAACGCCGUCAACUGGGGGAUGCGAGAAUACAAGGUAAGACUCUCCUUGGAGUGGGGAACAGCUGCCAUCCAGUCAGUGAUGCCAUCUAAUGUCCGAAUGCCACCAGGGCAGGGUCCUUGGAGAUUGUCCCUCCAUCUCUUGUGUCCUGGGCUGGUCUCAGAGCCCAUGUUUGAACGGAGACCUUUUCAGACACCUUCUCUUUCCUCAGACAUGCCCUGGCUUCACUUUCCCUCAAUCCUGUCCCUCCUGCUAUCAGCUCCAACAGAAUGGGCUGCAGUUGAGCAUGGUUUACGUUGCAGGUGUCUCAAAACGCUUUGCCCAGCAGCAAGGUGCAUGCUGGGGGAAGAACUGAUGAGGUGGGUGACCACAGCUGUCAUGCUGGGAUCAGCAGCAGCAGCUCCCACCCAGCUGUGGAGGCUGAACCUAUUAGAUGUGGAGAGGGGAUGCUGGGUAGGAUGCUAGGUCAUCGCCUACACCAGUGUUUCUGAAACAGUGGGUCCUGACCCACCAGUGGGUCCCAAGAAGGUUUUAGCUGGAUCGCUACAUCCAGAACCAGGUUAACCCAUCACUGGGCUCUGGCCUAGGCAAACAUACAUUUCUCCCGGCCUGGUGCAGAGGAGAGACCCUGGAGGGGUUGGGGAGAUGGAUUCUGAGCCUGUUCUGUACUCGCCCCAUAUUGUUGGCUCCAGUCCUGCAGGGCUGGGCCCGGUUCCCCGCUCCAGGUUUUGCAACCUGGCACACGGGUUGCAGCACCACCAGCUGGACCGAACCCGAGUGGUGCUACAACCCUGUGUGCCAGGUCGCAACACCCAGAGCAGGGAGCUGGUCCCAGCGUCAUGGGACAGGAGCCACUGCUGCAGGGGGCAGGCUCGUUCCCUGCCCACAAGGCCUUUCCUCUACACUGGGCCGGGGUUAGGGUUGAGGUGCCAGGGCAGAGGGUGCAUGUACGUAAUGGUGGGUUGCAAAAAAAGACAAAAUGCAGUUGGUGGGUUGCCUGAGUAAAAAGUUUGGGAACCACUGGCUUCUGUGACAAGCCAAGCAGUCUUCGCCUUCUGCCUGGAGAUGGGCAGAUGGGGAGCUGGGUUAGUGUCGCCCCUCAGGGCAGCCGCUCCAUCAGAGCAGCAUCCCUGCCUUGCAGUGUCAGCGUGAGCUCCAUUCUGCUGUGGGAGUUGGGCCUGCACCUUUGUGGCCCCCGCGAAGCACCAUCCCUGAGCCAAACAGAACAGGCCCAAGGACUAGCCACUGUGUUGUUGCUGUGGGUUCCCUCUAGCUGUGCCCGUCUGGACUGCUCCCUGGCUCACAGCUCAGAGAGCCUACCAACCCCAAAGCGUUUCUUCGUCUCUCUCUGCAGAUAUACCCCUACGAGCUGCUCAUGGUGACCACCAGGGGGAGGAACCAGCUGCCCAAAGAUGUGGACAGGACUCGGUUAGAGCGCCACCUGUCACAGGACGAGUUCUAUCAGAUCUUCAGCAUGACCAUUGCAGAGUUCGACCGC